Molecule: long non-coding RNA, 293 nt
Filed under: Vigna radiata
Lineage: Eukaryota; Viridiplantae; Streptophyta; Magnoliopsida; Fabales; Fabaceae
Description: long non-coding RNA (VRAD_LNC010205)
Source: RNAcentral
CAAGGUAUGACUUUUAAUCUUUGGCCAGCCUAUUUUUCUUUCUUUCUCUCUGGUUUCUUUCUCUGACAUUCAUUUCAGAUCCUUUUUUUUUCACUAUCUUGGCUAUUUUUCUCUUCUUAUUUUUUCAGACUUGUUCAUUCUUUUCAACUCAACCAGAUUUUUUUCAAAUCAUUUUUCUUUUCUUUUUCACCUCUAGCCUUACUCUUUUUCAUACACUCACCAAGUUCUAGACUUCUCCCUACAUCUCGCAAGUCUCUAAGGGUUGAUUAAUAGUUGGAGAGAAAGGCUUAAAA